CUGUUCUGUAACUGACACUGAGGAGCGGGAGCGUGGGGAGCGAACAGGAUUAGAUACCCUGGUCGUCCACGCCGUAGACGAUGACUGCUAAGUGUUAGGGGGCUUCCGCCCCUUACUGCUGCAGCUAACGCAUUACGCACUCCGGCUGGGGAGUACGGUCGCAAGACUGAAACUCAAAGGAAUUGACGGGGCCCCGCACGAGCGGUGGAGCAUGUGGUUUAAUUCGAAGCAACGCGAAGAACCUUA
Molecule: ribosomal RNA, 246 nt
Filed under: Bacillus pumilus
Lineage: Bacteria; Bacillati; Bacillota; Bacilli; Caryophanales; Bacillaceae
Description: partial 16S ribosomal RNA
Rfam family: Bacterial small subunit ribosomal RNA
Source: RNAcentral